Molecule: unclassified non-coding RNA, 564 nt
Filed under: Hevea brasiliensis (rubber tree)
Lineage: Eukaryota; Viridiplantae; Streptophyta; Magnoliopsida; Malpighiales; Euphorbiaceae
Source: RNAcentral
AUUUUCUCCUGCGAAACCAAAUCACAGAGGAAGAAUUUUUCUCACCAUUUGCUCUCUAUCUUCAUCCUUCAUCGGCAGGGAAUGACUUGACAGUUUGAUUAAAGAGCACAGGAAAAAGAAGCUCUUUGCUUGGAAUUUUGAACAUAGUUUAGCUGCUGUGAGAUCCAGAUAUAUUAUGGAUUAAAAUCUUGUAUUCGAGGUUGGAAUGAGAUGCAAUGAGUGCUGGGGAGAAUUGGAAGGACGAGCUAUUUCCAAUACUUGUGGUCAUCUCUUGUGCGCUGAAGAUGCCAGUAAGAUCCUUAGUAAUGAUGCAGCAUGUCCAAUUUGUGAUCAAGUGCUCUCUAAAAGCCUUACGAAACCUGUGGAUAUCAGUCCAAAUGACGAAUGGAUAAAUAUGGCCAUGGGUGGAGUAUCUCCUCAAAUACGUAUCUUUUAUAGUAAAUUAUUACUUACACCUCCUCCUCUGUCAAGUCCAUCUGCUGCCCAAUAUAAUUGAGCGGAAUUGUUAAUGUUACCUAACAAAAUAAUUUGCCCUUUAUAUUUGAGAGAGUCACAGACUUAAAA